Molecule: long non-coding RNA, 3600 nt
Organism: Solea solea (common sole)
Lineage: Eukaryota; Metazoa; Chordata; Actinopteri; Pleuronectiformes; Soleidae
Exons: 2
Source: RefSeq, a predicted model, not a curated record
UGAGCUGGACUUUAGUGUGGGAGAAUAAGUGCAUUACAGACUUCAGGGGGCGCUGUUGACUUCCUCUCUAUGUAAUGUGUCCACGUUUGUAGUAAGAUGUCGGAUAUGACGUAAAAACGUCGCAAUUUAGUAAGAUGUCGGAUAUGACGUAAAAACAACGCAGUUUAGUAAGAUGUCGGAUAUGAUGUAAAAACGACGCAGUUUAGUAAGAUGUCGGAUAUGAUGUAAAAACGACGCAGUUGAGUGAGAUGACGGAUAAGACGUAAAAACGACGCAGUUUAGUAAGAUGUCGGAUAUGGCGUAAAAACGACGCAGUUUAGUAAGAUGUCCGAUAAGACGUAAAAACGACGCAGUUGAGUGAGAUGACGGAUAAGACGUAAAAACGACGCAGUUUUGUAAGAUGUCGGAUAUGACGUAAAAACGACGCAGUUGAGUAAGAUGUCAGAUAAGACGUAAAAACGACGCAGUUGAGUAAGAUGACGGAUAAGACGUAAAAACGACGCAGUUGAGUUAGAUGACGGAUAAGACGUAAAAACGACGCAGUUUAGUAAGAUGUCAGAUAUGACGUAAAAAUUAUGCAGUUGUAAAUGACGUAAAAACAACGCAGUUUAGUAAGAUGUCGGAUAUGACGUAAAAACAACGCAGUUUAGUAAGAUGACGGAUAUGACGUAAAAACGACGCAGUUAAGUAAGAUGUCAGAUAUGAUGUAAAAACAACGCAGUUGAGUAAGAUGACGGAUAAGACGUAAAAACAACGCAGUUUAGUAAGAUGUCGGAUAUGAUGUAAAAACAACGCAGUUUAGUAAGAUGACGGAUAAGACGUAAAAACAACGCAGUUUAGUAAGAUGACGGAUAUGACGUAAAAACGACGCAGUUUAGUAAGAUGUCGGAUAUGAUGUAAAAACAACGCAGUUGAGUAAGAUGACGGAUAAGACGUAAAAAUGACGCAGUUUUGUAAGAUGUCGGAUAUGACGUAAAAACGACGCAGUUGAGUAAGAUGACGGAUAAGACGUAAAAACGACGCAGUUUUGUAAGAUGUCGGAUAUGACGUAAAAACGACGCAGUUGAGUAAGAUGUCGGAUAUGACGUAAAAACGACGCAGUUGAGUAAGAUGACGGAUAUGACGUAAAAACGACGCAGUUUAGUAAGAUGUCGGAUAUGACGUAAAAACAACGCAGUUGAGUAAGAUGUCGGAUAUGACGUAAAAACAACGCAGUUGAGUAAGAUGACGGAUAAGACGUAAAAACGACGCAGUUGAGUAAGAUGAAGGAUAAGACGUAAAAACGACGCAGUUGAGUAAGAUGACGGAUAAGACGUAAAAACGACGCAGUUUUGUAAGAUGUCGGAUAUGACGUAAAAACGAUGCAGUUUAGUAAGAUGUCAGAUAUGACGUAAAAAUGAUGCAGUUGUAAAUGACGUAAAAACAACGCAGUUUAGUAAGAUGUCGGAUAUCACGUAAAAACAACGCAGUUUAGUAAGAUGACGGAUAAGACGUAAAAACGGCGCAGUUGAGUAAGAUGACGGAUAAGACGUAAAAACGACGCAGUUUAGUAAGAUGUCGGAUAUGACGUAAAAACGUUGCAGAGUCAUAAUACGACAUUUAGACGUUGGGAGAAUCUUGACACUUUUUUUUUUUACAAUAACAUUUUCAUGUUAAAAAUUUCAAAAUGAUGUGUCUUGAUAAGAUUUAAGUUUUUUUUCAAACAAAUGUAUAAAAGAUAAAUAAACUAAAACGUCAUCACUGUUACUACAUACUUAAAAUGAGAAAUGAGUGUGUAAGCUAACUGACUGUGUGUGUGUGUGUGUGUACGUACAGCUGACGACAACCCUGUAGAGAAAGACUCUCUGAUGACACCACCGAUGGAAGAGGGAGCAAAGACGUCCCUGAACGGCUCGGACUCUGGCGUCUCCGUCUGAAGCAAAAGAUCUAAAUGAUCUAUGAGGGUGGGAGACAGUUGACAUCCAAACAGCAGCUGUGGGAUGUUAUUCUGACGUCCUGCAAAGAAAAUCAAGGAUAAAGUCUGCAAAACCUCACAAGUUCAAAGGAUGCAGGAAUCGUGAAUCUGCUGUAAAUCAGGUUUCCUAUGUUAAAAUGAUGUUUUUUAUUUCAGUAAACCUCCUGAUGCUGCAAAUUCAACAAAUGACCAUUUUCACUUCCUUACAACCUAUAAAAUGUUUCCAAACUCUGUUUCCGUUCGUAAUAGUUUGGAACGGUGCAGUGCACACGCUUCUUAUUUUUGAAAAAAAUGAUGUUAUCAUUGGGAGGUUUGUUCAAUAACAUUCAAAUCAUAUUCUCAAUACUGGAAAUUAUGCCGACUGUCAUUUGCAUCAGCUAUUUAGGAAAAUCAGAGUAAAAUGUAAUUUGUGUAAUAAUUUGGAACAAGGUGUGAAGACUGUAAAUAUACAAGAUUAUAAAGAUAUAUAAACCCUAAAUAUCUAGGUAUACAUAUACAAACAUAGUAAGUAAUAAAGAUUUAAGUCUAAACAACAUAAUAAACAGCAGCAAGUAACAACAACAAGGACAGUGAGUUGUCGAUGAUAGCAGUAAAAACACAGUGUGUCUGUGGUGAUGAUUGUAUACACCUGUGUUGUGGUGUUGCUUCUUCUGUCCUACUGUGGAAUCAGAUUUGUGUUAUUAUUAAAGAGUUUCCCAUAUUUCUCAAUGAUUAAAUCCAUAUAUUAUUUGCAAUUUGUUCAUUUUUUAUUUUUGCUUGAUUCAUAAAGUGUUUGAAAAUAUUAACACAAAUUUAAUUCAUACUGAACCAAAAAUGAUGUAAAAAAAAUAAUUUAAUCUCAGAUUUUAUGCCGUUUUAUUUGUUUCUUUCAAAAAUACUUCCAGUAUAUUAUAGAAACUGUUCCGUGUUUUAGAAACAUUGAGCCGGGUUUUUUCAUUAACAUUUACACGCAGACGUAGAGACAAAAAAAUAUUUCAGUUUCUCUUGUAACAAGAUCAAAUUUUCACUUAAUUAAAAUCAGAUUUCUUUUUAAUUUCCUAAAUGUAAUGGUACGGAAGAGUGUUAGUGCCACAUGUAAAAAAAAAAAAAACCCAGCGUGACUUCUGGGAUUUCUGUCUUUAAGCUCAGAAUUUAUGCUGUUUUAUUUUCUUUCAAAAAAAUGUUUUAUGUGUGGCACUAAUACUCUUCCGUACAAACUUUUUUUUUGCUUUUCAGAUUUUUAAUUCUCAGUUGAGUAUUGAAAAAUGUAAAUAUUGAAUGAAGGAAUUUCUUCAUAAAAUGUUCACAGUUUAAAUUCAGUUUUCUUGAUUUAUGCACAAAAUCAAAAGUUAUGAAAAACAAAAAUGUUUGGAUUAGGAUUAUAAAACAAAUUGGAAAACUUCCUUUGCCAAUGUUAGACUCUCAGACUGAUACAGAUGGAAUUAAAUAUUCUAGAUUAUGGGUCGUCAGUGUUUUUAAUCUGGGUUUGAUCUCAUGUGUGUUUUCAGUAUUUGAAUAUAGUCUUUGUGGAAUGUUUUUUUUGAACUGUAUUUUCUGUUUCAAUUUGAAUCUAAAGUUGUAUUUUUUCAUCAUAUCUGAAUCAUUUAUCUUUCUUGUAAAGUCACGAUAGGUAAAAGUGCUUUAUAUAAACUGCUUUAUAGACCCUU